AGCGUUUCUCAGGUGAUGCACCCUGGAAUUGGGCUCCCUCCUCUCUGGUUCUGGGUGUGUCAGCCAAGAACCACA
Myotis davidii is the source of this 75-nucleotide non-coding RNA. Lineage: Eukaryota; Metazoa; Chordata; Mammalia; Chiroptera; Vespertilionidae. The record is from Rfam.